GACGAACGCUGGCGGUGUGCUUAACACAUGCAAGUCGAACGGAAAGGCCCUGCUUGCAGGGUACUCGAGUGGCGAACGGGUGAGUAACACGUGGGUGAUCUGCCCUGCACUUCGGGAUAAGCCUGGGAAACUGGGUCUAAUACCGGAUAGGAGCCAUUUUUAGUGUGAUGGUUGGAAAGUUUUUUCGGUGUAGGAUGAGCUCGCGGCCUAUCAGCUUGUUGGUGGGGUAAUGGCCUACCAAGGCGGCGACGGGUAGCCGGCCUGAGAGGGUGGACGGCCACAUUGGGACUGAGAUACGGCCCAGACUCCUACGGGAGGCAGCAGUGGGGAAUAUUGCACAAUGGGCGCAAGCCUGAUGCAGCGACGCCGCGUGGGGGAUGACGGCCUUCGGGUUGUAAACUCCUUUCGCUGGGGACGAAGCUUUUUGUGACGGUACCUAGAUAAGAAGCACCGGCUAACUACGUG
This 465-nucleotide ribosomal RNA is filed under the name uncultured bacterium. Its description in RNAcentral is "partial 16S ribosomal RNA". It matches the Rfam family "Bacterial small subunit ribosomal RNA", at positions 28 to 507 of the family's 1533-position model. The record is from RNAcentral.